This is a long non-coding RNA of Sarcophilus harrisii (Tasmanian devil), 9282 nucleotides long. Lineage: Eukaryota; Metazoa; Chordata; Mammalia; Dasyuromorphia; Dasyuridae. The record is from Ensembl.
UCUUCUUUAAGUUUAAGAAUUCCAGGUAACUUGUUUUUCUGAAAAAAUAUUUCACAUUUUUUCUAUUUUUUCAUUAUUUCGAUAUGUUUUCUUGUUUUUUGAUCACUCAUAGUUGUCAUUAGCUUUCUACUUGAUCAAUUCUAACUUUUCAAUAAUUAUUUUCUUUAGUGAUACUCUGUACCUCUUUUUUCCCUUGGCCAAUUCUGCUUUAUAUGUAGUUAUUUUUUCAGUAUUUUUGUAUCUCUUUUUCUAAGCCAUCAAUUCUCUUUGCAUAUUUUUCUUACAUUGCUCUCAAUUUUUCUACAUAUUUCCUCUAGUGUUCUUCUUUGAGUUUAAGAAAUUCCAGGUAACUUGUUUUUCUGAAAAAAUAUUUCACAUUUUUUCUAUUUUUUCAUUAUUUCGAUAUGUUUUCUUGUUUUUUGAUCACUCAUAGUUGUCAUUAGCUUUCUACUUGACCAAUUCUAACAUUUCAAUAAUUAUUUUCUUUAGUGAUACUCUGUACCUCUUUUUUCCCUUGGCCAAUUCUGCUUUAUAUGUAGUUAUUUUUCAGUAUUUUUGUAUCUCUUUUUCUAAGCCAUCAAUUCUCUUUGCAUAUUUUUCUUGCAUUGCUCUCAUUUUUUCCACGUUUCCUUUACUGUUCUUCUUUGAGUUUAAGAAAUUCUGGGUAACUUGUUUUUCUGAAAAGAUAUUUCACAUUUUUUCAUUAUUUUGAUAUGUUUUCUUGUUUUUUGAUCACUCAUAGUUGUCAUUAGCUUUCUACUUGACCAAUUCUAACUUUUCAAGAAUUAUUUUCUUUAGUGAUACUCUGUACCUCUUUUUUCCCUUGGCCAAUUCUGCUUUAUAUGUAGUUAUUUUUUCAUUGUUUUUGUAUCUCUUUUUCUAAGCCACCAAUUCUCUUUGCAUAUUUUUCUUGCAUUGCUCUCAUUUUUCCCACAGGUUUCCUCUAGUGUUCUUCUUUGAGUUUAAGAAAUUAUUUUUGCUUCAUUUUUUCAUCUUUCUCUUUUGUUUAGUUCCACUUUGCAUUUUUCUUUGAAAUUUUCAGAUUAUUGUGGUCAUCUGAGUUUGUGUCUUGAGGUUCCUUGUCAAUAGAUACCUUUUAAUGGUUUGCCUAUUUGCCAAGUCAACAUCUUGAUUUUUUACUUUUAUGUUAGACUUGGGCUCUGAUAAGCUCUUAGAGUAAGGUGGGGGAAAUGUGUGUCAUUGUCCCAAAGUUCAGAAUCAUUCUCCCUGCUGUUUUCAUAGCUAGUUCUGGGGGGGUCUGUAACUUAACUUCUCAAUGUUUUAAAGGUGGUGAGAUGUGGAGAGAGAUGUGGUUACUGUUCUCUCAUUUCCCACUUUCUCCAUUCAGUCUUCUCUCACUAUCUGGGUCUCAACAUUGAUUCCUUCUUCCCCUCCCUCAAGCACCCUAGCUAACUUUCUUCAUUGCUAUGGCUUCACAUCCUUUCUUCUCUUCCUUUUACUCGUCAUUUCAGCUGUCUCACACCCUGACUUCAUCCUGUAAUGCAUUCCUUUUUCUUGACAUUUGUCACUAAUCUAUCAGUUUGGGUCUGUCCUUUCAUUCUGUGGGUUCUGCCUUGCUUACUUUUUCACUCUCGUUUUCCCUCUCCACUCUCCUCUCCCUACUUCUCUUUCUCCGUUCAACUGUGACACCCCAGGAUAUCCACUCCCCACUUUCUCUUUGUGUACAUCUCCUACUUGUUCCCUAAUGUCUGGGGCUUCUCUCUCCCUCAGGGACUUUUCCUAUGACACAGUCAAUUCUCAUACUGCUCUUGAUUCAGCUUUCUCUCCCUGAAGUUAUCCCUCCCACUCUUGCCUACUUAAAUCUCAGCAUCUUGACCUUCUUACAGCCUCAACUAUCUCUAUUUUCUCCUACAUCCUUCCUUUACUUCUUGGGCUUCCCACCCACCCUACUGUCUCAAUACUUACAGCCAUAAAACGUUCACUGAGCACAGCUUCCUUUCCAUACACCUCUCCCUCUCUUUGCCUCUUUUUACAUCCAUUGCUAAUAUUCCUCUUUCUCUGUUCAUGUAUCUCCUUUCCGUCUUCAGUCCUUAUCCACUAAUUCCUAGCCUUUUCAUUCCUGGAUAUCAGCAGAAUCUCCCUCCUUUAAUUGAAGUAUUCAUUGGGCUCUCCUACUGAAAUCACCUUUUGUACACCUUUGACUUAUGCUCAUAUUCAUUUCCCUUUCUAGCAGUGUCCUCCAAAUGCUUCUCUUUUCAUGCAGUCUCACCACUCAUUCUUCCUUUUCUUGUUCCUCCCCAAUUCAAUGUUCUUACAUUGCAUGUUUCCUUCCACUCAUCCUUUUCCCUCUUUGUCUCUAUACACCACACUCAUUCCAUACAUCAGUUCUCUCAUCCUUCACUCCUUCAGGUAGAUUUUCUAAACAGCCAAUCAUUACUUUCACUCUUUCCCAUUUUCAUGUCCCACAACGGCUCUUUAGCAGUGUAUUAUACUUGGCUCUCACCCUCUCGCUUUUCCUCCUUUCAAAGUUUAGAUUUUUUUUUCAGGAACUCAUCGUUCAUGGCUAAGGCUUCUGCUUUUACACAUAUUCUACAAAGUACAAUUAUGUAAAACCAAGCACUUCUUAAUUGUGUCCAGCUCUCUUUUCUUACAUCACUUACUCUCUUGAUCUCUCUUUCCUUCUGUCUCUUAUUUCUCACUGUCUCCAUUUGGAUCCCUCUCACUAUCUAGGUCUCUCUUCCCUUUGUUCUCUCUGAGUCUAGACAUUCGUGGUACUCAUUACAUACAUACAUAUACAUAUACAUAUAUAUUUCAUCACCCAUUCCUCUCACAACACUGAUUCUACUUCAUCCAUUUGCCACAGUCUAGUUCUCCACAUGGAUACUUUUCUUUCUUUCUCAAGCACUCUGGCUAACUCUUUCUCUUUGGAUUUGGCUCCUCAGUUUUGCUUCUCCUCCCAGUGCUCAAUUCAGCCAUCUCACAUCACAUACAAUAUGCCAUUCAUACAGUCAUUCACAUAUCAGAGUUUGGGUCUCUCCAUCCAUUCUUUUGGUUCUGCCAUUCGAUCAAUCAUCCUCAUCCUCUGACUCUCUUAUUUACUCACUCCAUUCUCCUCUCUCUACCCUUCAUCGAUUCAACUUUGAAACCUCAUGAUAUCUAUUCAUCCCUUUCUUUCUUUAUGCUUGCAUGUCCCAUUUGUUCCCUUCUAUCACUCUGAGACAUCUCACCCCUCAGAGACUUUUCCUAGGACACAGUCAUCUCUCAUACUUCUCUUAAUUCAGCUGCCUCUGCCUAAGUUUCUCUCCCCUAUUGCUUAUUAAAUCCUCAACAUCUUGAAAUUCUUACAGCCUUGGCUAUCUCUGUUUUCUCAACUAUCUUUCCUUUACUUGUUAGGCUUUCCAACCUACCUUACUGUGUCUCAUGAUCUGCAUUCACAAAUCAUUAACCCUGUAACAUCCAUUUCCAUAUAUCCCUCACUUGCUCUUAAUCUUGUUCCCCCCAUUAUUCAUUUUUUCCCCUUUCUCCAUUCAUCCAUCUCUUUCAAUCUCAAGAACUCUUCCAUUGGAUCUUGGCCAAGCAGUCGCUGCACCAAUCAUUCUUUGCAUCCAUUGGGGCUCCCCUACUGAUAUGUGUCCUUUCAUAGACUUUUCCCGCUGUAGUCCUCAGUUGGCAUUCAUUUUUGCUUUUCUCAUCCAAAUGUUUCUCUUUCAUUCAUUCUCACUCCUUUCUCUCGUGCUCCCCAAUUCAGUCAUCUCACAUUGCAUUCCUCGCUCCAUUCAUGCUUAUUUCUUAUUGGAACUUGACUGUCCCCUUAAGUAUCAGAGGUUGGGUCUCUCCUUUCACUCCUCACUUUGUGGUUUCUAUGUCUCACAUUCUUAGCUUCACCCUCUCAGCAUUUCUCACUCCACUCUCCUCUCUCUUUCUCUUCAGCCACUCAACUCGCACAUUCUGCAUAUGUCCCAUUCAUCACUCAAAAUUGUCCUUGCUCUACACAUCCAAGUCCCAUUCAACAUCUUAUUUCACACAAAUGUCUGACAUUCAAAUAGUAUUUGUAGCAGCCAGAUCUCACUAGUCCCUAUCCACAUGUACCUGUCUCUACCUCAGUGGUUCCCUAGAGCCACUCUAUCUCUCCUUGUCCUCUGAGAUCAUGGCUUUCUUCCUUUGAUCUGCAGCUCAUCCUUUAUUACUUCCCAUUUUGCUUUCUCACUUUGUUAAAUUAACAGAAUUCUCUGCUCAGGUUUCCCUCAUCCAGAGCAUUUCCAUCCUCACAUUUCUCACUCUCUUGAUCUUUUGUAUAAGCAAUCUCACAUUUUCUCACUUUUUUUUUUCACAGUGGCCCGGCCUCUUCUGUAUUCAUUCAUGCUCUAUUAGUACUAGACAGAAACUCUUCUCUGCCCCACUGUAGCUCAAAGAUGCAUCUACCUCACAAAUCUGGAGUUUCUCCUUUCAUACAUUGAUCACAAUCGAGCUCGCUACAUUUAGCCGCAUAACCCCACAGGGGACAGCUUUGCCUCUCCACACCAAGCUCAUUCAGUCCAUCACUUCUCUCAUCCUUCACUCCUUCAGGUAGAUUUCUCAAGAGCCAAUCAUCACUUUCACUCUAUACCAUUUCCUUGCAUGUUCUCCAGUGACUCUUAAGCAGUGAAGCAUCCUUGACUCUCAUCCUUUCUCCUCUUUCAUACUUUCACAGUUCUGCUCUUUUUCAGUUAUUUAUCCUUCAUGGCCAAGAGUUCUACUUUCUCACAUACACACACUGAAAAGUAUAGUUAUUUCUACCCAAGAAACAUGUGUAUGGCUCUUUUCCCUAUAUUAUUCACUCACUAGCUCUCUCCUUCCAUACAUUACUCACUCUUUCUCUCUUUCCAUACAUACAUUUCUCAAUGGCUUGUUCGGUCUUUCCCUAGAUUGCUCAUUCUUUUCUUGUCUUCAUCCAUCCAUCUCUCAUUUCUCACGGUCUCCAUUCAGAUGCCUGUCACUGCCUAGGUCUCUCUUCCCUUUAUUUUCUGUCUUUGGUUUCUAGACAUUCAUGUUUCGCUCUUCCUUAUAUCUCUUUACCCUUUUAUAGCACUUGUGUCUAAAUUCAUCCAUUUCCCAAAGUCUGGGUCUCAAAUGGGAUUCCCUCCUACUUCUCUCAGGCCUCUUAAUCAACUGUUUCACUUUGGCUGUGUCUCCCUGGUUUUCCUUUUCAUCCUUCUUCUCGUCAGGUUAGCUGUGUCAAACCAUGUAUUUCACACAAAUUCACACAUUUCUUGCAUAUUUUGACAAUCACUCAUAUAUCAGAGUUUGGGUCAGUCUGUCACCCUGCCAUUCUCACCCUUUCAUUUUCUCACUCCACUCUCCUCUCUCUACUUCUCUUUAUUCAAUCACCUUUGACCCUUUGUAUAGCCAUUCAGCCUCCAUUUUCUGUAUACAUAUAUCUGCCACUUUUUUCAUUUAGUCUCUUGGGACUCUUCUCUCACUCAGGGGUUUUUUCUUAGGAGAGAAACAUUCCUCCUAACUGGAUUCUACUCCCUCUCUGAGACUGCUUUUUUUCCCAAUAUUCCUUAUCUAAUCCUCACCAUCUCAACUUUCUUAUAACCAUGGCUAUCUCUGUUUUUUCACCUGUCUCUCCCUCAACUCUUAUGCUUUCCAACACACCUCACUGUCUCAAUAUCUACAGCGCCAACCUUUCUCUAUGUAAAGCUACUUUUCCAUAACCCUCUAACUGUCUUGGUUUCUCUACAUCCAUCACUCAUGCCCCCCUUUUUACACUUAUCCAGCUUUCUGGCUAGUUUCCUCUUUUGCUGCUUUUCAGGCUUAUUUGUCAGCUUCAACUUCACAUAUAGUUCGACUCUCCUCCUUGACUUCAGGACGUACUGUUCCAAACUUCAGGUCUCAUGCUGUUUUUUUCUAGGUAGUUCCAGGUAUCUCUAAACUUUCACUUCUUAGAAAGUGAAAUCAUCCAAGAAUAUGUCUGGUCACUAAUCUCCUGCAACAUGAGUGAUGGUCAGCACUGGUUUUUGCCUUGUAAUUGUAACCAGACUCCUGUCCCUGUGACCUAGAACUGUGCAUGGCAACAGAUUCCUAAUCCCCUUUCUGGCAAAGAGUCCCCUGCAGUCUCUAUCUGACUGGUUGUCUAAAGCUCCUUUUGUGUGGGCUGAAAACUCCAGAAAGCGCCACUGGUGAGUCCAUCGUUCCAGGAGCCUAUUGUUGGCUUCUUCUCAUGGUCACAGCCUCUGCUGCACUCCCUAAUUAAAGUCUGUGUUGAACAGUCCUCUCACCCCAUUCUUUUGUCUGAUCUGCCAUUCCAGAAUUCGUUUUGAGAUGUUAUUUUAAUAUAGUUUGGACGUGAAUUUGGGAGAACUCAAGAAAAUCCCUCCCUUUUAUCUACCAUCUUUGUUCCUCUGUCCUCCGCUGCUGAAAUGUCUAUAUUCAUACACAUACAAUUUGCAUCCAUUUUUCCUUCUCUGAAAGAGGCAAUAAGAAAAUUUGUUCCUCUCACUCUUACCAGUCAUUCUUUACUUCCUUGCUGCUCCUGAAUUCUAUCAUCUUCCAGUGGCUGUGUCUUUCCAUUCAACCUUUCCCCCAUUGAAAUUUCACUGUCAUUACAAGUCUCAGAGUUUGCAUCUCUCCUUUCCCUCCAUCUUUGGGGCCUGUGUGUCUCCCAUGCUCACCUUCACCGUCUCUGGCUUUCUCCAUCCACUCCCUGCCUCGAACUUUCUCUUCAACCUCUCAUGAAUAUAUCCAUCUCAUCCAUCUCUUCUCAACCUCUCAUGAAUAUAUAAUUCAUAUAACGUUCAUCAUAUGCCUUUUUGAUCUGAACCUGUGUUAUUCUCUACCUCCACAGAGUUGGUUUUCCAGGUUAGUUAAUGUAUCUUAAUGACAGGCUGAUGACGCAGGAACCAUGAAAAAUAUUUCACUUUUUCUUUUACAGCUGAAAAAUGAAACAAAAAGCCUCCACAGAUAUUUGUCAGAAAAAUGUUUUUGCACAUGGUAUAUGACAUUAUAAAGUUGAGAACUCGGGGACAAAAAAAAUCUCACUCCAUUAUUUGUCACCCAUCUCUGCAAAACAUUCCUGUGUCCAAUCCUGAUGCUCUCUCUUUUGAAAUAUCAAGUUGGGUUUUACCAAGAGUCAAUCUGGUAAGAUUGACUUCCUGUUUUUCUUGAUAAAUACUCAGAAGGCUCAGCCGGUGAUUAGAGUCCUGUCCAAUGGUGAGGAAAAAGGAGAUGGGGGAAAGCUUUUCAGAAGCUGUCUUCUUUCCUUCACCUUGUUUUCUCCUUUUCUCCUCGUCUUCCCAGGAUAUCACCCCAAGCUCCUAAGUUUUCCCAGCCUCUGCCGCCACUGCCAACUUGGUCUCUGCUACUACAUCCUAGGCCAGUGAUGUCUGCAGUGCCUCCACCACUAUAAUGGCCCCUUUGGCCUCCAAAGCCACCAUCCUCAGCCUACUUUCUUUGUUUCCAUCAGCCUCCCUGUCCUCCAUGGACUCUUUUGCAGCUUUACCUUUUCCUUUUGGGUAAAAGGUCACAAACUGUACAUUGUGCCUGACUCUGUCCCCCUCCUUGUGACUAUCCUGGCACCCAAAGGAUAAAAUGAAUCUUUCAUUGUUUCUUCUUUUAUAUCUUCAUCCAGACCUCUGAAGAACUUUGUAGAACUCUGUCCUUGGUGCUGACUUCUGUUCUUUGAGCUCCCGCUGGAUGGCUGUGGUUGUUACAAGUUUCUGUGUUGUUACAAGAAUUCAGAGCUUCUUUUGCAUCUUCCACAGAGAUCAAUUCAGCAAACGGGUCCCCUUUUGGUCAGCCUUGGAUAUUCUGGGGAAGGACGAACAUUGCCUUCUCACACACUUGGACUCUCCUCACUUGAGCUCUUGGCCAUAUUAUCCAGCACCAGUGUCUCUGAAGCUCCCAGCUUGCUUUUGUUCAAAUUCCAGGGAUCCUUCUCCCCACUUCUUUUGUUCUCUUGUCCUUUACUUUUCUUCACUGUGUAGUCCAGAAUGAGCACUUUACUAUCAAUCUUGAUUCCUUGUUUCUCUUCCAAGAUCUUGUCCACAUCUGCUUCCAUCUCAAAUACGCAAUUUUGCUGGGUGUCCCAUCCUUGUGCACACCAGUCUGACACCAGUAGAGUCUUCACACACUUCUUGGACUUACUUCCCUAGCGGAGAGCAUCCUCCCAUCUCAAUUUUCCUGCUGGCUUUGAGCUCUGGAGCCUUUCUGUGUCUUCAGUGGCUCUGAGUUCCACAUAGCCACAUUUCUUGGUGCCGUCCAUGUUGACAUCCAUGAUGGUGAGGGCUUUGGGGGGAAGACAUCUGCGACGCCAGUUUGAGUUCCAAAGAGUUCGGCUUCAAGUUCAGGUUACUAGCAGAGAGAUUAAAGUUUGUAGAUACUUUUCCAUUGUCUUCCACUCUUGAUUUGGGGAGCUUUCCGCUUGCCCAUUUCCUUUUUCCUUGUUCCUGGUGCUUCUCUGACAUGCAUUUUCUCCUCUUCAUAAUAUUCUUCCUUCUCUUCUCCUCUUCUUCCUCUUCUUUAUUUUUUCUUGCUCCUCCUCCUCCUCUUCUUCUUCCUCUUCCUCCUCUUCUUGUUGUUCCUCUUCUUUCUCCUCUCUUCCUUUUCCAUUUCUUCCUCCUCUUCCUCUUCUUUUAAUUCCUCUUCUUCCUCCUCCAUUUCUUCCUUCCCACGCUCCUAUUCCUCCUCCUCCAUUUCAUCUUCCUUCAUUUCUUCUUCCCCACCCUCCUCCUCCUCUUCCUCCUCCAUUUCUUCUUCUUCCUCCAUUUCUUCUCUACCAUCCUCCUCCUCCAUUUCUUCCUCCUUCAUUUCUUCUUCCCCACCCUCCAGUUUCUUUUCCUCUUUUUCCUCCUCCUCCUCUUCUUCCUUCUCUUCCUCUUCUUUCUCCUCCUCCUCUUCCUUUUUCAUUUUUUUCUCCUCCUCUUCUUUUUCCAUUUCUUCUUCCUCCUCCUCCAUUUCUUCUUUCCCUCCCUUCUCCUCCUCCAUUUCUUCUUCCUCCUCCAUUUCAUCUUCCUCACCAUCCUCCUCCAUUUAGUCGUUUUCUUCUUCCUCCUCCUCCUUUACUUUUUCCUUCUUCAUUUUUUUCUUCCCCACCCUUCUCCUCCUCUUUCUCCUCCAUUUCUUCUUCCCCAACUUCUUCACCCUCCAUUUGUUCCUCUUCUUCUUCCUCCUUCAUUUUUUGUUCCCCAUCCUCCUCUUGCUCCUCCUCUUCCAUUUCUUCCACCUUCAUUUCUUCUUCCCCACCCUCCUCCUCCUCCGCCGCCACCAUUUCUUCUUCCUUCGUUUCUUCUUCCCCACCCUCCUCCUCCUCCACCGCCGCCAUUUCUUCUUCCUUCGUUUCUU